RNAcentral lists this long non-coding RNA (550 nucleotides) under Marmota monax (woodchuck). The record is from RNAcentral. Lineage: Eukaryota; Metazoa; Chordata; Mammalia; Rodentia; Sciuridae.
GCUGCUGCUCUCCUGCGUGGUCAGGGCGUCGGAAUCCUGCUGGCCCUGGGUUGGGAUCACUUCUUUCACCUCAGAGAAGCCGCUCAUCAUCCCUGGUUGUCCAGUACCUUGAAAGAAAAAGUGCCUGUUAUCAGCCCCCAGAGGAGGUCCAGCUGUGCAUCCCUAGGAGAAAUGACAGCGGGUCACUAUGGCAGUGGCAAAAUGUUCAGGAGACCUUUGUUGCCUUGUAAUUCCAGGAACAGAUGAUUCUUUGGGAUUGGGACUUGAAGCAGUGGUGUAAACCUCAUUACCAGAAUUCCAGAGGUGGAAAUGGAGUUGAUCUUUCAGUGCUAAAUGAAGCUCUCAAUAUGGUGUCAGAUCUUCUGAAUGACCCAAGCCCUUCCUCCACAAGUCAUUUCUUCCCUAGGAAGAAUGAGUAGCUUGAUGAGUGCAUUCUCUGGAUCUUGUAGGCCAAAGAUUAAUCCUCUCACACCAUUUCCUGGAUUUUACCCCUGCUCUGAAAUAGAGAAUCCAACUGAUAAGGAGAAAACUUUAUCAAGGAUCAAAGGAG